UGGUGCUCCAGAUAAAUCAUGAAAUGGAAUAUGUUGUUGAGUGAGAGAAAUGCAAAACAGAUUCUGUCACCCUCAAUGCUAUUGAUGAGCUCAGUUCUAUAACAAUAUGGUCUACCACCGGUCAUCACCUAGCUCAGAAAUCAGCAAACUACUGCCCAUGUGCC
This 164-nucleotide long non-coding RNA is filed under the name Mustela putorius furo (domestic ferret). Its description in RNAcentral is "lncRNA (ENSMPUG00000027601.1)". The record is from RNAcentral. Lineage: Eukaryota; Metazoa; Chordata; Mammalia; Carnivora; Mustelidae.